GGAUUAGAUACCCUGGUAGUCCACGCCGUAAACGAUGUCUACUAGUUGUCGGUGGUCUUGUACUGCUGGUAACGCAGCUAACGCGAUAAGUAGACCGCCUGGGGAGUACGGCCGCAAGGUUAAAACUCAAAUGAAUUGACGGGGGCCCGCACAAGCGGUGGAGCAUGUGGUUUAAUUCGAAGCAACGCGAAGAACCUUACCUGGCCUUGACAUCCUGCGAAUCUCUUGGAGACAAGAGAGUGCCUUCGGGAACGCAGAGACAGGUGCUGCAUGGCUGUCGUCAGCUCGUGCCG
RNAcentral lists this ribosomal RNA (293 nucleotides) under uncultured bacterium. RNAcentral describes it as "partial 16S ribosomal RNA". It matches the Rfam family "Bacterial small subunit ribosomal RNA", at positions 775 to 1067 of the family's 1533-position model. The record is from RNAcentral.